This 84-nucleotide transfer RNA is filed under the name Tannerella sp. Its description in RNAcentral is "tRNA-Leu". It matches the Rfam family "tRNA". From Rfam's summary of the family: Transfer RNA (tRNA) molecules are approximately 80 nucleotides in length. Their secondary structure includes four short double-helical elements and three loops (D, anti-codon, and T loops). Lineage: Bacteria; Pseudomonadati; Bacteroidota; Bacteroidia; Bacteroidales; Tannerellaceae. The record is from RNAcentral.
GCCCGGAUGGCGGAAUUGGUAGACGCGCUGGUCUCAAACACCAGUGGAUUCAUUUCCAUGCCGGUUCGACCCCGGCUCCGGGUA